AUCAGUCGAGCAUCACAUGAUCAGUCUGCACGUCACAUGACACGUCACAUGAUCAGUCGAGCGUCACAUGAUCAGUCGAGCGUCGCGCACCUUUGCUGGCGGUGUAGAGCAGCGCGGCCUGGAAGGACACGGUCUGCAGGUCCAGCAGGUUCUCCUCGAUGCUCAUCUGCACGGCGAAGCCGGCGUCGGGGUUCACGUUGGGCAGAGACAGCAGGUCGGUGGAGCGCACGAAGAAGUUCCCGUGGAAGGUGUGUAUGGACAGACCUGCAGACGACAGAAGAACACGUCAGUGUUCAGCAGGGCUGGACUCAGACCGACGCCUCACUCCACACACCUUUAGUGCAGCGGAUCCUCAUCACGGCCUCGAAGCCGAUCUUGCGCGUCAGGUAUCUCUUCAGAUCCUUCUGGAGGCGCUCCGUCUGAGGCGGGUUGUGCUGCUUGUGGUAUGAAGGGUAGAAAUAGACGCUUCCGGCCGAGUAUCUGGAUA
Long non-coding RNA from Cyprinus carpio carpio, 487 nucleotides. The record is from Ensembl. Lineage: Eukaryota; Metazoa; Chordata; Actinopteri; Cypriniformes; Cyprinidae.